Molecule: ribosomal RNA, 546 nt
Filed under: Alternaria consortialis
Lineage: Eukaryota; Fungi; Ascomycota; Dothideomycetes; Pleosporales; Pleosporaceae
Description: eukaryotic LSU rRNA
Rfam family: 5.8S ribosomal RNA (bases 172-325)
Source: RNAcentral
GGGAAAUCAAUAUGGAAGCGGGCUGGCAUCCUUCGGGGUUACAGCCUUGCUGAAUUAUUCACCCGUGUCUUUUGCGUACUUCUUGUUUCCUUGGUGGGUUCGCCCACCAUAGGACAAACCAUAAACCUUUUGUAAUUGCAAUCAGCGUCAGUAAAAAAAAUUAAUAAUUACAACUUUUAACAACGGAUCUCUUGGUUCUGGCAUCGAUGAAGAACGCAGCGAAAUGCGAUAAGUAGUGUGAAUUGCAGAAUUCAGUGAAUCAUCGAAUCUUUGAACGCACAUUGCGCCCUUUGGUAUUCCAAAGGGCAUGCCUGUUCGAGCGUCAUUUGUACCCUCAAGCUUUGCUUGGUGUUGGGCGUCUUGUCUCCAGUUCGCUGGAGACUCGCCUUAAAGUAAUUGGCAGCCGGCCUACUGGUUUCGGAGCGCAGCACAAGUCGCGCUCUCUUCCAGCCAAGGUCAGCAUCCACAAAGCCUUUUUUCAACUUUUGACCUCGGAUCAGGUAGGGAUACCCGCUGAACUUAAGCAUAUCAUAGACCGGAAGGAAA